Molecule: long non-coding RNA, 500 nt
Organism: Triplophysa dalaica
Lineage: Eukaryota; Metazoa; Chordata; Actinopteri; Cypriniformes; Nemacheilidae
Exons: 4
Source: RefSeq, a predicted model, not a curated record
UCAAGCAGUCUGUCCGAGGGCAUGCAUGCAGAGCCUAGGGAUUCAGCUUCCUGUAGGUGGCGAUCUCAAUGUCCAAGGCCAUUUUGACAUUCAGAAGAUCCUGGUAUUCACGAAGAUGACGGGACAUCUCAUCCUUCAUGUUUCUGAUGUCGUCCUCAAGAUGUCCGAUGGUGUCCUGGUAUCCGUUUGCCUCCACGUGGUCGAACCUCAUCGUGGAGUUUCUUUAAGAAAGCGAUCUCCUCCUGCAAGGACUCCACUUUUCUCUCCAGAUCCAGACGAGCAAGAGAGGCGUUGUCAACAUCCUGCGAGCAAGACGCAUUAAGAAAAUAACAAACAAAUCUCAGCUCUGUAUGUAUAAAUGCGCUCGAUGUCCUCUCCCAGGUUGUCUCGAUCCACUUCCACUCUGGCCUUCUCGUUGGUGAGCUGGUCCAUCUGCCUCCGCAGUUCUCUCAUCUCAUCCUCGUACAUAUCUCCGACCCGGGACUUGCCCUGGCCCUUCA